RNAcentral lists this ribosomal RNA (778 nucleotides) under uncultured Neocallimastigales. RNAcentral's name for it is "partial large subunit ribosomal RNA". It matches the Rfam family "Eukaryotic large subunit ribosomal RNA", at positions 24 to 616 of the family's 3401-position model. Lineage: Eukaryota; Fungi; Neocallimastigomycota; Neocallimastigomycetes; Neocallimastigales. The record is from RNAcentral.
UUACGACUACAUAUCAGGCAUAUCAAUAAGCGGAGGAAAAGAAACUAACAAGGAUUCCCUUAGUAACGGCGAGUGAAGCGGGAAGAGCUCAAAUUUGAAAUCUUCAAGGUUUUACCUUGACGAAUUGUAGUUUAAAGAAGUGUUUUCUGUUGGAGUUUUGGUAAAAGUUCUUUGGAAUAGGACAUCAUAGAGGGUGUGAAUCCCGUAUUUGACCAUUAUUUCCAGCUUUGUGAUACACUUUCAAAGAGUCGGAUUGUUUGGGAAUGCAGUCCAAAAUGGGUGGUAAAUUUCAUCUAAAGCUAAAUAUUGGCGAGAGACCGAUAGCGAACAAGUACCGUGAGGGAAAGAUGAAAAGAACUUUGAAAAGAGAGUUAAACAGUACGUGAAAUUGUCAAAAGGGAAGCGUUUGACACCAGUGUUGUUUUCUCGAAAAUCAAUUAAAAAAGUGCAGGAUUUUGUGUUGUAUUGACCUUUAAUCAGCUUUCUGCACUCUUUUCUUGUCUUUUUUAAUGCACUUUUCGUUUAACAAGUCAACAUCAAUUUCUUUUGUUGUAAAAGGGUCAUUGGAAGGUGGCUUUCUUUUCGGAGAAAGUGUUUAUAGCCUUUGGCCUCUGCAAUCGGAGAGAUUGAGGUCUGCAGCGUAGAUCCUUCGGGGUUAGAUACAUUUGUGCUAAGUUAUAGCCUUUCAUAGACAACUUGUUGACUAUGAUCAGUCAUGUAGCUUACUCGCUUAUGCUAUUUUACCUACGCUUAGGAUGUUGAGCGCAUGUCUCUCUCU